Molecule: long non-coding RNA, 917 nt
Organism: Lates calcarifer (barramundi perch)
Lineage: Eukaryota; Metazoa; Chordata; Actinopteri; Centropomidae
Exons: 2
Source: RefSeq, a predicted model, not a curated record
UGAGAGUUCUUGUUCACGCCUCACUGUGGCACGCGAACUUGUACACCUUUGAAGCAAUUCCCUGGGGGACAUAAAUCCACCGUGCCUGACAAAUACAAGCAAGGACCAUGGGGUAGCAUUACUGUACCCAAUAAAGGUCCGAAUAUUGUCACCGUCACUUCUCCUCCUUCCAUCCAAUCUCUUGUCAUACUUCCUUCCCCCCUUCCGCCCCUCUUCCAUCCUCCCCUCACGGAACCCUUAGCGUCCUCCUGUUGACUAAAUUUCCUCGAUGACGUAAGAGUCCACGUACAUCGUCCAUGUAGGUGAUGCUUCUGAAUGAAUGAGUGUCCCCUCCCAUCUCCAUUACUAGUACUACGGGAUGUCUAUAAGAGCAGAUCGCCGGGACAGCCCGCUGAAUUUCAUGAGGUACCGAGGUGCGAGAGGGAGACGCGAAGAUUGAAAGAUCAAUCAGAAUUCCAGCCACUUUCGCCGAAAAUUACGCACCGGCGCUGACGAUGAGUUUGAUCAAGUCGCAAACUGAAGAAAUCUCAGCAGGACCGGUGAAGACAGGAGUAGGGGGGGGGUAAGUUCUCCUUUUCAUUGUGCCAGUUAUUUUUUGCCUUCUGGAAAUUUUUAAGAAUGAUCACAAAAAGCUGUCUCGCUCCACGUGUGGCGAGAAAUUACGACAAGGGCGAGCUUGUUAAAUCGGUGUCUGCUCACUCUUUUCUUGCAGUCACCGAAUUUCCCUCUGCGUGCCGAUUCGUGAAUCUACGGUAGAUUACAGAAGCUGGAAGUUACUGCAGUGUGAGUCACUUUGGCGCACAUGGGCAGUGACAACUGUGAAAAAAGGGAGAGAAUGUCUUGUAGGGUGUAGGCUACGCUGACUGCAUGUUAACCAGGCUGCAUCCCCGCAGAUAGUAAGAGAAUCACGACAUGCG